RNA transcript from Populus euphratica (Euphrates poplar), 4289 nucleotides. It is a transcript of the gene named proton gradient regulation 3, with no coding region annotated. The record is from RefSeq and is a predicted model, not a curated record. The transcript is spliced from 3 exons. Lineage: Eukaryota; Viridiplantae; Streptophyta; Magnoliopsida; Malpighiales; Salicaceae.
UUAGUUGAAAAAGAAGCAAAUGAAUGCACCACAAAUUCCAAAAGAAUAUCUCAAAGAACAGAAUCAAUGACCACAGAUAUCUUACUCUGCAAUCAUGUAGUCUCUGUUCACCACAUAACCCCUCAAAUUCAAAUAUCCAAACAAGCCAAGCCAAUCUCCACCAUAGCCAAUAUCAUCAUCUAGGACCAGACCUGCCUGGUGAGUCUUAAGCUUCAUUUUUGUAUCUCUCUAAACUUGUUUCGUUUUAACUCUCUCACUAUCAAUUCAACAAGAAACUAUCAUGCAAAACUGAACCCAUUUUUUUUUUAAUCUCUUGAGAUUGUCACUCUUAUGCUUAGUCUUUUGUCUCUUAUAGCUUUCUUCCAUGGCUGUGUUAAUACUUAGCUCUUCAAGUAUGUGUUGUAGUUGUAUCCAUUAUAGUAUUGUUUUUAGUGAGCAGAAUAGGUUGUCUGAUUUCAGACAUAAAAAUGGGUCAUUAGGAGGUGAAAAGUUUGGAACUUUGAGGGUUUUCCCGUUCGGGUCUAACGUAAAUUGGAAGAAAAAUAACAAAAAACAAGUGGCUUUUUGUGGAAUUGCAUUGAAAAGCCAGAAUGAGGACCUGGUGGUGAAUGGGAAGCCAAGAAAGGGGUCAUCUUCUGAUGAAGUUUUGGGAGUUCUUCACUCAAUUUCAGACCCUAUUCAUGCUCUUUUUUACUUUAAAUCAGUUGGUGAGUUGCCAAAUGUUGUUCACACCACUGAAACCUGUAAUCAUAUGCUUGAAAUAUUGAGGGUUCAUAGGAGGGUGGAGGAUAUGGCUUUUGUGUUUGACUUGAUGCAAAGGCAAAUAAUUAGGAGGAAUGUGGAUACUUAUUUGAUUAUAUUUAAGAGUCUUUUUAUCAGGGGUGGCCUGAGGCAAGCACCGUCUGCCCUUGAAAAGAUGAGGGAGGCAGGGUUUGUUUUGAAUGCUUAUUCAUAUAAUGGGUUGAUCCACUUUCUACUUCAGUCUGGAUUUUGUAAGGAGGCGUUGGAAGUGUAUAGAAGAAUGGUCUCGGAAGGUCUUAAGCCUAGUCUUAAGACGUUCUCUGCACUUAUGGUAGCAUCAGGGAAGAGAAGGAAUAUUAAAACUGUUAUGGGUUUGCUGGAAGAGAUGGAGAGUAUGGGGUUGAGGCCUAAUAUUUACACAUACACCAUUUGCAUUAGAAUACUGGGGAGAGAUGGGAAAAUUGACGAAGCAUAUAGGAUUAUGAAGAGAAUGGAUGAUGAUGGAUGCGGUCCUGAUGUUGUCACUUACACAGUUCUCAUUGAUGCUCUUUGUACUGCCAGAAAGCUUGACGACGCUAUGUGCUUGUUCACGAAAAUGAAAUCUAGCAGUCACAAACCUGAUAAGGUAACCUAUGUAACCUUGUUGGACAAGUUCAGUGAUUGUGGACACUUGGACAAAGUGGAAAAAAUUUGGACUGAAAUGGAAGCUGAUGGUUAUGCUCCUGAUGUGGUUACAUUUACCAUACUUGUUAAUGCCUUAUGCAAAGCUGGUAGAAUUAAUGAAGCCUUUGAUCUGUUGGAUACCAUGAGAAAGCAAGGGGUCUUACCAAAUCUCCAUACUUACAACACAUUGAUUUGUGGACUUUUGAGGGCAAACAGGUUAGAUGAUGCGUUGGAUCUUUUCAGUAAUAUGGAAUCUCUGGGUGUUGAACCCACUGCUUAUACAUAUAUCCUUUUAAUUGACUACCAUGGAAAGUCUGGUCACCCUGGAAAAGCUCUCGAGACCUUUGAGAAGAUGAAAGCUAGAGGAAUUGCUCCUAACAUUGUUGCUUGCAAUGCAUCUUUGUAUAGUCUUGCUGAAAUGGGAAGGCUUGGUGAAGCAAAAGCUAUGUUUAACGAGCUUAAAAGUAGUGGGCUUGCUCCAGAUUCAGUGACCUAUAACAUGAUGAUGAAAUGCUAUAGUAAGGUAGGGCAAGUGGAUGAAGCCAUCAAGUUACUAUCUGAGAUGUCAAAAGUUCAGUGUGAACCCGAUGUAAUCGUCAUUAAUUCUUUGAUUGACACACUUUACAAGGCUGGCCGAGUGGAAGAGGCAUGGCAAAUGUUUUGCCGAAUGGAGGAGAUGAACCUUGCUCCUACAGUUGUGACCUACAACAUAUUACUAGCUGGAUUAGGGAAAGAGGGUCAAAUCCAAAAAGCUGUUCAGCUAUUUGAGAGUAUGAAGGGGCAUGGGUGUUCACCAAACACAAUUACUUUCAAUACACUCUUGGAUUGCCUUUGCAAGAAUGAUGAGGUUGAUUUGGCCCUGAAAAUGUUCUACAAAAUGACAACAAUGAAUUGCAGACCUGAUGUUCUAACUUUCAACACAAUCAUUCAUGGUUUUAUUAAACAAAACCAAAUUAAAAAUGCAAUCUGGCUCUUCCAUCAGAUGAAGAAAUUGCUCAGACCUGAUCAUGUGACUUUGUGCACGCUCCUUCCUGGUGUUAUAAAGAGCGGGCAGAUAGAGGAUGCUUUCAGGAUCACUGAGGACUUUUUUUAUCAGGUUGGAUCUAACAUAGACAGGCCAUUUUGGGAAGAUGUUAUGGGAGGCAUUUUGACUGAGGCUGGAACAGAAAAGGCCAUUUUAUUUGGUGAAAGAUUGGUAUGCCGUGCAAUUUGCAAGGAUGACUCUGUAUUAUUACCUAUAAUUAAGGUUUUGUGUAAGCAUAAGAAAACCUCUGUUGCUCAAAAUGUAUUUGUGAAGUUCACAAAGGAACUGGGAGUGAAACCAACACUCAAAGUAUACAACCUGUUGAUUGAUGGGUUUCUAGAAGUUCAUAAUGUUGAAGCGGCCUGGAAUCUUUUUGAGGAGAUGAAGAGUGCUGGCUGUGCUCCAGAUACAUUCACCUACAAUUCUUUAAUUGAUGCUCAUGGGAAGUCUGGGAAGAUCAAUGAACUUUUUGAUCUGUAUGAUGAAAUGCUAGCUAGGGGAUGCAAGCCCAACACCAUAACUUACAACAUGGUCAUCUCCAAUCUAGUGAAAUCUAAUAGAUUGGACAAGGCUAUGGAUUUGUAUUACAAUCUUGUCAGUGGUGAUUUCUCUCCCACUCCCUGUACCUUUGGCCCCCUUAUAGAUGGACUUCUGAAGGCAGGGAGACUUGAUGAUGCACAUGAAAUGUUUGACGGGAUGGUACACUAUGGAUGCAGGCCUAACAGUGCUAUUUACAAUAUUCUUGUAAAUGGUUUUGGGAAAUUGGGUUACGUGGAUACUGCUUGCGAGUUCUUUAAAAGGAUGGUCAAAGAAGGAAUAAGACCAGACUUGAAGUCUUACACCAUUCUUGUUGAUAUCCUAUGCAUAGCAGGGAGAGUGGACGAUGCUUUGCACUACUUUGAGAAAUUAAAGCAGGCAGGCCUAGAUCCAGACUUGGUAGCUUAUAACCUCAUGAUUAAUGGGCUUGGACGAUCACAAAGGACAGAAGAAGCUCUAUCUCUUUUUCAUGAAAUGCAGAAUAGAGGGAUCGUUCCUGAUCUUUACACUUACAAUUCCUUGAUACUCAAUCUUGGGAUUGUUGGAAUGAUAGAGGAAGCAGGGAAGAUAUAUGAAGAACUGCAAUUUAUAGGUCUUAAACCUAAUGUGUUCACCUAUAAUGCUCUUAUUCGUGGAUACACCCUCUCUGGAAAUUCUGAACUUGCCUAUGGCAUCUACAAGAAGAUGAUGGUUGGUGGUUGCGACCCCAAUACUGGAACUUUUGCUCAGCUUCCUAAUCAAUCCUGACCCUUCAAAGAUGCUCAACUGGUCAUGUAUUCUCUUGGCUGUUUAUCUUUCCACUCAAGUUUUACUGGGGAACUUUAGCCUGACUUGAUGGUUUUGCUGAUGGUGAUAAGCGCUUAAAUUUAUCUCAAGAUUUUGUGCAUGCUGAGUAGCAUAUGUGCAAGGCUGGGCAUUCCAAAUUUACCUUAGCCAUCCUUCAUUGCAGAUUCAGUGAAGUUUUCUUUUUGCAGAGAGAUCAAGAGUACACGAUUAUAUAUUCAGGUUGCAACCCAGGUGCGUUCAAGGCCAUCUAAUCUGUUGUCCAUGAAAACUGUGAAUAUUUAACCCCUACAACGAUGCAUUAUGUAAAAUCUUGAAAUACAUAGUACACUGAUUUUAUUUGGUAAAUGGCAUGGUAUGCUUGUAUCAACGAGCUGUUUGUAGUUGUACCCGCCAUUCAGCAUACAAGAAAUUUUUGUAAGCUUUUCUGUAUCUUGACAUGCCUCAUUUCGAAUGAAAAAUAUGCAUAAAUAGGCAAUGUACUUAAUGAUAUUUUUUUUCUGGAUCAACUACUCGACAAUACAAACUAGAAAGACUCUUU